CUAUUUGGACGCCCCAACCACAGAUGGGUUUGAUGAAUACCUGCAGUUUUCAAAGCUCAGAAGGCUGUUCAUUAAACACAACACUGCCCUGCCCUCAAGCGCUCCAGUAGAGAGGCUCUUCAGCAUCGGUGGUCUAAUAUUCAGACCCAGGAGAAACCGGCUGGGAGAUGCCAACUUUGAGAAGCAGCUCAUCCUGAAUGCCAACAAAAAGUUUUGACGGAAGCUAAAAAACAGCAGAUCCACCAGGGAGAGAACACUGUGACCAAUGACAGAGGAUCUUCAUUCAGAUAAGGGAUUGGCCCUGCACACUGACUUUUUUUCAUUCAUUAUUAUUAUUAUUACUUUGGUUAUUUCUGGAG
RNAcentral lists this long non-coding RNA (359 nucleotides) under Gadus morhua (Atlantic cod). RNAcentral's name for it is "lncRNA (ENSGMOG00000030711.1)". The record is from RNAcentral. Lineage: Eukaryota; Metazoa; Chordata; Actinopteri; Gadiformes; Gadidae.